UUCCUUUUGUGAAGAAGGGUUUAUCUCUCCAUAAGGACCGGUUUAUGGCAUCACUGCCUUCUUCAAGGCAGGCGAGUGCAGACUUCACCAGACCAGUGUUCACUGCUGUGGCAUUUUACUUAUGUGCAAAAAAACAUAAGCUGAAGAUUGACAAGGAUAGGUUGAUUGAGGUUUGCGGAACCUCUGAAUCCGAGUUUUCUUGUAUAAGUAAC
This is a long non-coding RNA of Hibiscus syriacus, 212 nucleotides long. RefSeq lists it as uncharacterized. The record is from RefSeq and is a predicted model, not a curated record. The transcript is spliced from 3 exons. NCBI's taxonomy places the organism in Eukaryota, Viridiplantae, Streptophyta, Magnoliopsida, Malvales, Malvaceae.